AAUUGAGAUGACUGAGUGGCGGACGGGUGAGUAACGCGUGGGUAACUACCCUAUCAGGGGGAUAACAGUUGGAAACAGCUGCUAAUACCGCAUAAGCGCACAGUAUCGCAUGAUACAGUGUGAAAAGCUCCGACGGAUAAGGAUGGACCCGCGUCUGAUUAGCUAGUUGGUGAGGUAACGGCUCACCAAGGCGACGAUCAGUAGCCGACCUGAGAGGGUGAUCGGCCACAUUGGGACUGAGACACGGCCCAAACUCCUACGGGAGGCAGCAGUGGGGAAUAUUGCACAAUGGGCGAAAGCCUGAUGCAGCGAACGCCGCGUGAGUGAUGAAGUAUUUCGGUAUGUAAAGCUCCAUCAGCAGGGAAGAAUAAUGACGGUACCUGACUAAGAAGCUCCGGCUAAAUACGUGCCAGCCGCCGC
RNAcentral lists this ribosomal RNA (420 nucleotides) under uncultured bacterium. Its description in RNAcentral is "bacterial SSU rRNA". It matches the Rfam family "Bacterial small subunit ribosomal RNA", at positions 80 to 518 of the family's 1533-position model. The record is from RNAcentral.